RNAcentral lists this non-coding RNA (115 nucleotides) under Pseudomonadota bacterium. RNAcentral describes it as "Proteobacteria bacterium Glycine sequence". It matches the Rfam family "Glycine riboswitch aptamer". Rfam says of the family: This family represents the bacterial glycine riboswitch. Glycine riboswitches usually consist of two metabolite-binding aptamers domains with similar structures in tandem. The record is from RNAcentral. Lineage: Bacteria; Pseudomonadati; Pseudomonadota.
AAACGAUACUCUGGAAAGCGGCAGCGCGGCGUUCGCUCUGCCCACCGAAGGGGUAAGCCGGCCUGGCAUAAAGCGGGCGGCGAAAGCUCUCAGGUUCCGUGACAGAGGGGGCGAC